This 420-nucleotide ribosomal RNA is filed under the name uncultured bacterium. RNAcentral's name for it is "bacterial SSU rRNA". It matches the Rfam family "Bacterial small subunit ribosomal RNA", at positions 359 to 777 of the family's 1533-position model. The record is from RNAcentral.
GAAUAUUGGUCAAUGGAUGGAAGUCUGAACCAGCCAUGCCGCGUGCAGGAAGACGGCCUUCUGGGUUGUAAACUGCUUUUGCCAGGGGCUAAAAAGCUCAUGCGUGAGAAAUUGAAAGUACCUGGUGAAUAGGCCACGGCUAACUACGUGCCAGCAGCCGCGGUAAUACGUAGGUGGCAAGCGUUGUCCGGAUUUAUUGGGUUUAAAGGGUGCGUAGGCGGCUUUGUAAGUCAGUGGUGAAAUAUGGCAGCUCAACUGUCAGGGUGCCAUUGAUACUGCGGAGCUUGAGUACAGAUGAGGUAGGCGGAAUUGACGGUGUAGCGGUGAAAUGCUUAGAUAUCGUCAAGAACACCGAUAGCGAAGGCAGCUUACUAGGCUGUAACUGACGCUGAGGCACGAAAGUGUGGGGAUCAAACAGGA